Molecule: ribosomal RNA, 675 nt
Filed under: uncultured beta proteobacterium
Lineage: Bacteria; Pseudomonadati; Pseudomonadota; Betaproteobacteria
Description: bacterial SSU rRNA
Rfam family: Bacterial small subunit ribosomal RNA
Source: RNAcentral
UAAACGAUGUCUACUAGUUGUCGGAGGGUAACUCCUUCGGUAACGCAGCUAACGCGUGAAGUAGACCGCCUGGGGAGUACGGUCGCAAGAUUAAAACUCAAAGGAAUUGACGGGGACCCGCACAAGCGGUGGAUGAUGUGGAUUAAUUCGAUGCAACGCGAAAAACCUUACCUACCCUUGACAUGCCACUAACGAAGCAGAGAUGCAUUAGGUGCCCGAAAGGGAAAGUGGACACAGGUGCUGCAUGGCUGUCGUCAGCUCGUGUCGUGAGAUGUUGGGUUAAGUCCCGCAACGAGCGCAACCCUUGCCAAUAGUUGCUACGAAAGAGCACUCUAUUGGGACUGCCGGUGACAAACCGGAGGAAGGUGGGGAUGACGUCAAGUCCUCAUGGCCCUUAUGGGUAGGGCUUCACACGUCAUACAAUGGCCGGUACAGAGGGUUGCCAACCCGCGAGGGGGAGCCAAUCCCAGAAAACCGGUCGUAGUCCGGAUUGCAGUCUGCAACUCGACUGCAUGAAGUCGGAAUCGCUAGUAAUCGCGGAUCAGCAUGUCGCGGUGAAUACGUUCCCGGGUCUUGUACACACCGCCCGUCACACCAUGGGAGUGGGUUUCACCAGAAGCCGUUUGCCUAACCGCAAGGAGGGCGGCGACCACGGUGAGAUUCAUGACUGGGGUG